ACGGAGGGAGCUAGCGUUGUUCGGAAUUACUGGGCGUAAAGCGCGCGUAGGCGGCUUUUUAAGUCAGAGGUGAAAUCCCAGGGCUCAACCCUGGAACUGCCUUUGAAACUGGAAAGCUAGAAUAUUGGAGAGGUAAGUGGAAUUCCGAGUGUAGAGGUGAAAUUCGUAGAUAUUCGGAAGAACACCAGUGGCGAAGGCGACUUACUGGACAAUUAUUGACGCUGAGGUGCGAAAGCGUGGGGAGCAAACAGG
This 252-nucleotide ribosomal RNA is filed under the name uncultured bacterium. Its description in RNAcentral is "partial 16S ribosomal RNA". It matches the Rfam family "Bacterial small subunit ribosomal RNA", at positions 525 to 776 of the family's 1533-position model. The record is from RNAcentral.